GUGGGGAAUCUUGCGCAAUGGGCGAAAGCCUGACGCAGCCAUGCCGCGUGAAUGAUGAAGGUCUUAGGAUUGUAAAAUUCUUUCACCGGGGACGAUAAUGACGGUACCCGGAGAAGAAGCUCCGGCUAACUUCGUGCCAGCAGCCGCGGUAAUACGAAGGGGGCUAGCGUUGCUCGGAAUUACUGGGCGUAAAGGGCGCGUAGGCGGACAGCUUAGUCAGAGGUGAAAGCCCAGGGCUCAACCUUGGAAUUGCCUUUGAUACUGGCUGUCUUGAGUUUGGGAGAGGUGAGUGGAACUCCGAGUGUAGAGGUGAAAUUCGUAGAUAUUCGGAAGAACACCAGUGGCGAAGGCGACUCACUGGCCCGUUACUGACGCUGAGGCGCGAAAGCGUGGGGAGCAAACAGGAUUAGAUACCCGGGUAGUCC
Molecule: ribosomal RNA, 425 nt
Filed under: uncultured bacterium
Lineage: Bacteria
Description: partial 16S ribosomal RNA
Rfam family: Bacterial small subunit ribosomal RNA
Source: RNAcentral